GGUGGGAGGCUUUGAAGUGUGGACGCCAGUCUGCAUGGAGCCGGCCUUGAAAUACCACCCUUUAAUGUUUGAUGUUCUAACGUGGACCCGUGAUCCGGGUUGCGGACAGUGUCUGGUGGGUAGUUUGACUGGGGCGGUCUCCUCCUAAAGAGUAACGGAGGAGCACGAAGGUUGGCUAAUCCUGGUCGGACAUCAGGAGGUUAGUGCAAUGGCAUAAGCCAGCUUGACUGCGAGCGUGACGGCGCGAGCAGGUGCGAAAGCAGGUCAUAGUGAUCCGGUGGUUCUGAAUGGAAGGGCCAUCGCUCAACGGAUAAAAGGUACUCCGGGGAUAACAGGCUGAUACCGCCCAAGAGUUCAUAUCGACGGCGGUGUUUGGCACCUCGAUGUCGGCUCAUCACAUCCUGGGGCUGAAGUAGGUCCCAAGGGUAUGGCUGUUCGCCAUUUAAAGUGGUACGCGAGCUGGGUUUAGAACGUCGUGAGACAGUUC
RNAcentral lists this ribosomal RNA (487 nucleotides) under Shigella sonnei. RNAcentral's name for it is "partial 23S ribosomal RNA". It matches the Rfam family "Bacterial large subunit ribosomal RNA", at positions 2146 to 2632 of the family's 2925-position model. Lineage: Bacteria; Pseudomonadati; Pseudomonadota; Gammaproteobacteria; Enterobacterales; Enterobacteriaceae. The record is from RNAcentral.